RNAcentral lists this ribosomal RNA (500 nucleotides) under uncultured bacterium. Its description in RNAcentral is "partial 16S ribosomal RNA". It matches the Rfam family "Bacterial small subunit ribosomal RNA", at positions 30 to 523 of the family's 1533-position model. The record is from RNAcentral.
AUUGAACGCUGGCGGCAGGCCUAACACAUGCAAGUCGAGCGGUAGAGAGAAGCUUGCUUCUCUUGAGAGCGGCGGACGGGUGAGUAAUGCCUAGGAAUCUGCCUGGUAGUGGGGGAUAACGUUCGGAAACGGACGCUAACACCGCAUACGUCCUACGGGAGAAAGCAGGGGACCUUCGAGCCUUGCGCUAUCAAAUGAUCCUAGGUCGGAUGAGCUAGUUGGUGAGGUAAUGGCUCACCAAGGCGACGAUCCGCAACUGGUCUGAGAGGAUGAUCGGUGACACGGGAACGGAGAGACGGUCCAGCCGCCUACGGGAGGCGGCGGGGGGGAAUAGUGGAAAAUGGGCGGAAGCCUCAUCCAGCCAUGCCGCGUGUGUGAAGAAGGUCUUCGGAUUGUAAAGCACUUUAAGUUGGGAGGAAGGGUUGUAGAUUAAUACUCUGCAAUUUUGACGUUACCGACAGAAUAAGCACCGGCUAACUCUGUGCCAGCCGCCGCAGUAA